UUUCCAUAAAUGGCCCCCGAGUUAUUAGUCUCCAGGGCCCUAUAGGACCUGUUGAUGAAGGGAAAGACUGAGGUCAGCAGGCUAAGGUACUGAAAAUGGAAAAGCAAUAACAGGAAAGGAUCUGUGUAAUUUAGGGGUGAAAAGUACAGGGAAUUUUCAUUCAUUUCAGUCCUGAAUGUUCCCAGCCAUUAGUGGUACUACCUUCAACAGAGCUGCUUUAGACGCUGAUUUGGGCACAAUCUCCUCAGUAAUGUCUCUUAUCAUCACCACUGAUGUGCUUUACUCCUUGUGUAAAAUAUAGGAAGAAGGGUUUUCACAGAUCAAUUGAGAUCACAAUUCCCUAACAUCAUUCCUUGUCCCAAAGAUUUCAUUUCUCCCUGGGUAAUUCUCUCAGCUUUUCAAAAGCAAUGCAAUCCUGAGGCCUGGGAGGGAGUUCUAAGGAGGGAUGGGAAGGAGUUCCUUGCUCCCUCUGCUGGCCAAACCUGGCAUUGUCAGCACAGCCCAGAAGCCAGUGGAGGUUUAGCCCAAGCACAGCUGGACAACCAUGCCCCAGAACCCUCAAAGUAAAACCACUACCAGAGGGACACGAAUAACAUCAUAGCUGCUAUUCAUCAUUAAGAAAUCACUAUCUUCCAGAAACUGGCAGGUAGUUUACAUUCAUUAUCUCAUUUACAUUUUAAUUCUAUAGCAUUUCCUACUAAUGAUCCUGAUAGGUUUUAUAGAAGAGAUAGUGAUGUUUCAGAACCAAAACCUAACCAUGAUUGAUUCCAAAUACAUGCUCUUUCUUAUAUUUUGUACUUUAAGGCCAGCUUAACACUUGUCCUGUCUUGGGCCAUGACUUUGUUCCCAGCUCUAAUCCAACUUGAACAUCCAUCUCUGAUUCUAGUCUCAAGCUAGAAUCCACCCACCUCGCCUCCUGCUCCUGGCUCCUAGUGCUUGCUCUAGAUCUUUCUCCAGUUGAAUGGCCUCUGUCCCUAUGAAUCUGAUUUCCUCCCAAGGUUGAUACUUUUAUUUUCAUCUGUCUUCUGGGGUUAGCAGCCAAACACUAAAAAAGAAAAAGGUGGGGUGGGUUGGGCUGAAGAAGCUUUUGUGGGAGAGAAGCUAACUGGGAACACUGAAGAGGGGUGUACCUCCAAAAUCUUAGCCCUGCUGAGGUAUCCCACAGUAAUGACUUAAGGAGAGAAGUGGGUGUGUCCUAAGGUCCUGUGGGAGGCAGAAGAACUAAAACAACAACAACAACAACAACAAAAAAAACACAACAGUUUGUUCUCAGCAGGAGGGCCCUUGAGCAGUCUUGACAGCCCUUUAGAAAUUUAGCAGUGACUCCAAAACUCCUUUCUCACAGCUGCAUGUGUGCAGGCCUGGCUAUUGGCAUCCCUUCCCCAGGGCAGCAGGUGGUCCCUUGUUUUUGGCUGCAGUCCUGGUAUCACACUUCAGCACAUUGGGCAGACUUGCUAGGGAUUCACAAGCUUUCCUUUUCACAACUGGAUCCUUCUCCCCCGUUACCAUGGUUACGGCCUAUAACCUUCGUUCCCCAGGAAGCAAGGAGCUUGCCUAGCUCAGGAAGUCCCUUUCUUAUCUCCCCAUGAAAAAAAGUAUGACAAACUUGUAUUUCAUUCCAUGUGACUUAGGAGCCCUGUGAAAGUACGAAAGCUAGUUCCAGAGCUUCAAAAUGAGAUGAUAGUGGCCUCUUUCUCAUAUCGUUGUAAGGAUUAAUUGAAACAAUUAAUUGGCCUAGGACCUAGCAUAAGUAACUCUUCAACAAAUCAAAUCUAAUAUUUUUAGUUGCUUUGUGGGCUUCGGUUUCCUGAUCAGGAAAAAUGAACAUAAUAAUUUAAAUUUCCUAAUAUUAUUAUAAUGACAAAAUGAGAUAAUGUAUGUACAGCAGUUUAGAAUGAUUCAACGACAGUUAUAAAAAUAUACAUUUCCUUGAUUCUCUAAAUCAGGCAAUUUGCAUUUAAGCUUUUAACCACCUACCUUAUGGGGAAUUUGAUCUCAGAUGUGUUUUGUGGUAUUCUUUCUGUUCUCUCUUUCCCUAGUUAGGGGCUUGUAAACAUCUCUGGGUGUUUUAUGUUAGACAGGAUAUCUGGAACAGGCCUUUGGUCUUCAGGCCAUGCUGAUUAUGCUGGUAUGGGUCUUGUUCAAGCCUGUGUACCCUUAGGGGACAUGCUCUGAGAUUCCAGUGUCU
Molecule: long non-coding RNA, 2188 nt
Filed under: Marmota monax (woodchuck)
Lineage: Eukaryota; Metazoa; Chordata; Mammalia; Rodentia; Sciuridae
Source: RNAcentral